This 447-nucleotide ribosomal RNA is filed under the name uncultured bacterium. RNAcentral describes it as "bacterial SSU rRNA". It matches the Rfam family "Bacterial small subunit ribosomal RNA", at positions 355 to 825 of the family's 1533-position model. The record is from RNAcentral.
UAACGAAUCUUCCGCAAUGCACGAAAGUGUGACGGAGCGACGCCGCGUGGAGGACGAAGUUCUUCGGAAUGUAAACUCCUGUCAGGGGAAAGAAAGUUCUGAUCUACCCCAGAGGAAGAGGCGGCUAACUCUGUGCCAGCAGCCGCGGUAAUACAGAGGCCUCGAGCGUUAGACGGAAUCACUGGGCUUAAAGCGUGUGUAGGCGGAAGGGUAAGUACCUUGUGAAAUCCCACGGCUUAACCGUGGAACGGCUUGGUAUACUGCUUUUCUUGAGCAAUCUAGGGGCGAGUGGAACAGAUGGUGGAGCGGUGAAAUGCGUAGAUAUCAUCUGGAACGCCAAUGGUGAAGACAACUCGCUGGGGAUUUGCUGACGCUGAGACACGAAAGCCAGGGGAGCGAACGGGAUUAGAUACCCCAGUAGUCCCUGAGCGGGCUGGCAAGGCGCAU